This 76-nucleotide transfer RNA is filed under the name bacterium. RNAcentral's name for it is "tRNA-Ala". It matches the Rfam family "tRNA". From Rfam's summary of the family: Transfer RNA (tRNA) molecules are approximately 80 nucleotides in length. Their secondary structure includes four short double-helical elements and three loops (D, anti-codon, and T loops). The record is from RNAcentral.
GGGCCCAUAGCUCAGUUGGGAGAGCAUUUGCCUUGCAAGCAAGGGGUCGAGAGUUCGAAUCUCUUUGGGUCCACCA